CCUACGGGACGCAGCAGUGAGGAAUAUUGGUCAAUGGCCGGAAGGCUGAACCAGCCAAGCCGCGUGAAGGACGAAGGUGCCAAGCAUUGUAAACUUCUUUUGUCAAGGGACAAAAUCAGGCUCGAGAGCCUGAUCGAGGUUACUUGAAGAAAAAGCAUCGGCUAACUCCGUGCCAGCAGCCGCGGUAAUACGGAGGAUGCGAGCGUUAUCCGGCUUUAUUGGGUUAAAAGGGUGCGUAGGCGGGCUGUUAAGUCAUCGGUAAAAGCACGGGGCUCAACCCCGGCGAGCCGUUGAAACUGGCUGUCUUGAGAUGUCUAGAGGUAUGCGGAAUGCGCAGUGUAGCGGUGAAAUGCUUAGAUAUUGCGCAGAACUCCGAUUGCGAAGGCAGCAUACCGGCGGCGAUCUGACGCUGAGGCACGAAAGCGUGGGUAUCGAACAGGAUUAGAUACCCGGGUAGUC
Molecule: ribosomal RNA, 459 nt
Filed under: uncultured bacterium
Lineage: Bacteria
Description: partial 16S ribosomal RNA
Rfam family: Bacterial small subunit ribosomal RNA
Source: RNAcentral